GCGCCCAUAGCUCAGUGGUUAGAGCAUGCGACUUAUAAUCGCAGGGUCCUUGGUUCAAAUCCAAGUGGGCGCA
This 73-nucleotide transfer RNA is filed under the name Patescibacteria group bacterium. RNAcentral describes it as "tRNA-Ile". It matches the Rfam family "tRNA". Rfam says of the family: Transfer RNA (tRNA) molecules are approximately 80 nucleotides in length. Their secondary structure includes four short double-helical elements and three loops (D, anti-codon, and T loops). The record is from RNAcentral.